RNA transcript from Calidris pugnax (ruff), 860 nucleotides. It is a transcript of the gene named v-maf avian musculoaponeurotic fibrosarcoma oncogene homolog K, with no coding region annotated. The transcript has 2 exons. The record is from RefSeq and is a predicted model, not a curated record. NCBI's taxonomy places the organism in Eukaryota, Metazoa, Chordata, Aves, Charadriiformes, Scolopacidae.
CUCCUCAGCUCGCCGGGACGAGGAGCUUUUUCCUUCCUCCUCCUCUUCCUCCAUGGUAGCACCUACGUCUGCGCCUCCGGCUUGGAGUUGCAAUUUCUGAGCGGUUUUGUCCGGAAGACUGUGCUCAGGUUAUGACGACUAAUCCCAAACCGAACAAGGCAUUAAAGGUAGGGAAGAAGGGAAGGAUGGGGUGAUGCUGGGGGGCAGGGGAGGCUGUCACAGGCCUUUGUGGCGUCAGUCGUACGGGUCCCAGAGACUCUUACACAUGGGUGUCUCUAGGAUUUCCCACUAUCUACAGGAAGGGUUAGGGUUGAAGAAUACUGGCAAUACCCAAAAAAAGUCUCUGGGAUGGGGUUGGAAGGUGGCGUGUCCCAUUUGCUAUCUAAGAGACUUUUGACUACAGCAGGGAUUGGCAGCAUCCUGAAACCAGCGCUCCCAGGCCUGUUGAUGAAGUACUUCUGCUCUCAGGACUGGGAGGCCCUGGGGAAAGGAGGUGUCGAGGUGGUGUCUCUCAGAUCUGUGAGACUGUAAAUGCUUCAGACACACUGGCUUGGUGGUGGUCUGCCCAUGGGGUUGUGGACAUGUUGCCUUUCCAGUGUCCUAGCUCUUCGUUCCAGGUGUCCCACAGUCUCUGAAGAGACAAAAGGCUGAUGGCUUAAAGGUUCUGCCCUCGAUCUUGAAGGCCUUUUCCAACCUGAAUGAUUGUAUGGUUCUGAAAUGAAUUGGGGGAGCCAAGCUGCCUGAGAAAAGGGCACAAGGCCUUGGUGUCUUUCUCGUGUAACUUCAGAGUCUGGCCUGUGCACCAGGGACACUGAGCCGGGCUGUGCUCCUUGAGGCCGAGCGGGGUUGGUUUAGAUCAC